Molecule: ribosomal RNA, 497 nt
Filed under: uncultured bacterium
Lineage: Bacteria
Description: partial 16S ribosomal RNA
Rfam family: Bacterial small subunit ribosomal RNA
Source: RNAcentral
GAUGAACGCUGGCGGCGUGCCUAAUACAUGCAAGUCGAGCGAACGGACGAGAGGCUUGCUUCUCUGAUGUUAGCGGCGGACGGGUGAGUAACACGUGGAUAACCUACCUAUAAGACUGGGAUAACUUCGGGAAACCGGAGCUAAUACCGGAUAAUAUUUUGAACCGCAUGGUUCAAAAGUGAAAGACGGUCUUGCUGUCACUUAUAGAUGGAUCCGCGCUGCAUUAGCUAGUUGGUAAGGUAACGGCUUACCAAGGCAACGAUGCAUAGCCGACCUGAGAGGGUGAUCGGCCACACUGGAACUGAGACACGGUCCAGACUCCUACGGGAGGCAGCAGUAGGGAAUCUUCCGCAAUGGGCGAAAGCCUGACGGAGCAACGCCGCGUGAGUGAUGAAGGUCUUCAGAUCGUAAAACUCUGUUAUUAGGGAAGAACAUAUGUGUAAGUAACUGUGCACAUCUUGACGGUACCUAAUCAGAAAGCCACGGCUAACUACGUG